This 253-nucleotide ribosomal RNA is filed under the name uncultured bacterium. RNAcentral's name for it is "partial 16S ribosomal RNA". It matches the Rfam family "Bacterial small subunit ribosomal RNA", at positions 524 to 776 of the family's 1533-position model. The record is from RNAcentral.
UACGGGGGGGGCAAGCGUUGUUCGGAAUUACUGGGCGUAAAGGGUUCGUAGGUGGCCAACUAAGUCAUACGUGAAAUCCCUCAGCUUAACCGGGGAACUGCGUCCGAUACUGGAUGGCUUGAGUUUGGGAGAGGGAUGCGGAAUUCCAGGUGUAGCGGUGAAAUGCGUAGAUAUCUGGAGGAACACCGGUGGCGAAGGCGGCAUCCUGGACCAACACUGACGCUGAUGAGCGAAAGCCAGGGGAGCAAACGGG